Taeniopygia guttata (zebra finch) is the source of this 393-nucleotide non-coding RNA. The record is from RefSeq and is a predicted model, not a curated record. NCBI's taxonomy places the organism in Eukaryota, Metazoa, Chordata, Aves, Passeriformes, Estrildidae.
GACCCGGCGGGCACCGAGCGGGGACCGGCCACCGAGCGGGCAGACGGGCGGGAGUACGCUUCACCACCGCGCGUUGUGGCGUGUCGCAGGGCUUUUCUAGAUUUACCUUUUCUUUUUUUUUUUUUUCCCCUUUUUUUCCCUUCUCAAGCGAGGCUGCGUCUGCUCCCCCUUCCCCAAGUUGAGCCUCAGUUCUCAAAGCGUUUUACACGGCAGUCGUCACUUUCCGACCUCACCGACGUGGAAGCGACUUCUCCGUGCUGCACGGGCGACAGCGCCCGGGAACCCCCUCGCCACGUCCAGAGUUCUGCUCAGGAAAACGUGCUUCCCCCCAGCUUGGUCACUCGACAGAGUACCGCGCUGGCUAAAUAAAUGUGCAGUACAUGAACAUGCGAA